Molecule: unclassified non-coding RNA, 601 nt
Filed under: Sedum fragrans
Lineage: Eukaryota; Viridiplantae; Streptophyta; Magnoliopsida; Saxifragales; Crassulaceae
Description: sequence contains ITS1, 5.8S rRNA gene and ITS2
Rfam family: 5.8S ribosomal RNA (bases 237-392)
Source: RNAcentral
UCGAAGCCUACAAAGCGCGACCGCGAAUGAGUUUCAACUCGGGGACGGCAUUGGGAAGCUCCUGAGCGACCCACUGCUGCUUCCUCGCUUGGGAGGCGAGUGGCCUUGCGCUGCUUUCCUUCUGAGUCUAACGAACCCCGGCACGGCAAGUGCCAAGGAAUCCUAACGAUAGAACUUGUCCCUUCCGCCUGUUUUCGGGCGGCGAGGGGUAUGAGUCUGUUCAAAUAUAUCAUAACGACUCUCGGCAACGGAUAUCUCGGCUCUCGCAUCGAUGAAGAACGUAGCGAAAUGCGAUACUUGGUGUGAAUUGCAGAAUCCCGUGAAUCAUCGAGUCUUUGAACGCAAGUUGCGCCCGAAGCCUUUAGGUCAAGGGCACGUCUGCCUGGGCGUCAUGCACUGCGAUGCCCCCCAUCAAGUAUGGGGUGCGAAUCAUGGUUUCCCGUGAGCCAACUCGCGGAUGGCUUAAAAGUGAGCCUCGAGACGGUGAGACGUCGCGACAAGUGGUGGUUAGGGGCCUUGGCCUUCGAGCUUAGCAAGUCGCGUGAAUCGCCCCUCUCUUGCUCUAAAAACCUCGAGGGAGUGCUUUUGUGCUGCCAGCAUC